GAUGAACGCUGGCGGCGUGCUUAACACAUGCAAGUCGAACGGAAAGGCCCAAGCUUGCUUGGGUACUCGAGUGGCGAGCGGGUGAGUAACACGUGGGUGAUCUGCCCUGCACUUCGGGAUAAGCCUGGGAAACUGGGUCUAAUACCGGAUAGGACCACUUCUUGGAUGUUGUGGUGGAAAGUUUUUUCGGUGUGGGAUGAGCUCGCGGCCUAUCAGCUUGUUGGUGGGGUAAUGGCCUACCAAGGCGUCGACGGGUAGCCGGCCUGAGAGGGUGUACGGCCACAUUGGGACUGAGAUACGGCCCAGACUCCUACGGGAGGACGCAGUGGGGACUCUUGCACAAUGGGCGCAAGCCUGAUGCAGCGACGCCGCGUGGGGGAUGACGGCCUUCGGGUUGUAAACUCCUUUCGCUAGGGACGAAGCGUUUUGUGACGGUACCUGGAGAAGAAGCACCGGCUAACUACGUG
This 467-nucleotide ribosomal RNA is filed under the name uncultured bacterium. RNAcentral describes it as "partial 16S ribosomal RNA". It matches the Rfam family "Bacterial small subunit ribosomal RNA", at positions 28 to 507 of the family's 1533-position model. The record is from RNAcentral.